UAUAUAUAUAUAAUAUUAUGUUCAUUUUGUGUUUAGUCAAAGCAGACGCUAAAGGCUGUUUUUAUUUAUUUUUAAUUAAUUUACUUAGCUCAUUGUUGGCAUACUUGCAAUAGACAUUCAUUUCAAUAAUUUGCCCUGUGUAGACACAUUUACCAUCAGUGAGAGUUUUUAAAAACCGUUCUCGAGUUAACAGUAACACAGUGCUACAGAAUCUCAAAGCUUCAGUUUGGACAUUUAUACAAGAUUUAAAGUACUACGAAACGCAAAUACAAGGGUGAUAUACACUCACUCACGUUGAGUAACCACUUUAUCCUGUUCAGGGUCAUGGAGCCUGACACACGCGGAGGAAACUCACUGGGACGAGGGGAGAACAUGCACAGAAACGCCGCACAGAUAGCAACCAGAUCUCAAGAUCGAACCUAGGACCCUUGACAUUACAAGCUAAUUAUAAAUUUCACGAUUAUAAUCAUGCACAUACAUUUUUGGAUAAUGAUUAUUAUGUACAGUACCAUUUAUACAGGGUCUCCUGUAGAGUCUCUAUAUACUUAGUUUAUAUUAUAUAUGUACAUUUUUUUCAGAUAGCCUUUAAGAACGCAUUUGACAAAAGAAGAACGUAUUGAAAUUAUUCUCACGGCUGGAUUGGAAGGUUGCGAUGGACUUUAACAAGAAACAUGGCGAGCACAUCACACACAACACUGUCGCCAAAUUUAUUAACAAAUUCAAAAAGACUGGGAGUGUUGAGGACCAACCGAGAAGAGGUGGACGUCUAUGAACAUCCACUGAGGAAGGCACAACCGAUGUGGUGCUGGCAUUUUGGGACACCCUGUAAAGUUGUUAAUUCAUAAAAGUUUUCAUUAUUUAAUUCCAACAUUAGUGUUUUGUAUUAUUUGUAGUUGGAACAUUGUAAUUUAACAGGAACCUCGAAAUAGGUUUUUGAUUAUGAGUAGCCAGUACAUUUUGACAGACCAGCAUUGAAGAAAAUAAUUGGCACUUCCUUUAUAAAGCGGUUGAUCUAUUUCUAAACUUCAGGAUUUGGAGAGCCCAGUUCAGAUCUCUUACUGGCCUAUAAUGAAGGUGAACUGGGCCAAAAUUUAGGUCAUUCUUUGGCCUACUACACAUCGUUAUUUUCAGUUUUGGGAAGUAACGCAUUACUGGAUAUUGUAAUCUCAUUACUAAAAACAGGUAAUUAUAAUUAGAAUAGGAUACACCUGAUAGGGUGCAACAUACUUAUAUAGAUAAAAUUUACAUAGAUUAAUUUAUAGACACCAUGAACUGAUUUGUAAUUUAUUUAAUGUGCCAAUAAACUGUAUAAUAUCUGACACUACAGGCAAGUUCUUCAGUCAUUAGUUACAUGAGGUUUCUUGCAGCAGAUCUAGUUAGCGUGUAUAAUUGUUAAUAGUAAAUGGCAGUGUGUAAUACCUGGAUAAGUCUUUGUGUGCACAUAUCCAGAUCUUCCAUAAAAGGUAGUAAUACAGUAACUACUGUCAUCAUACAGCAAUCAUCCCCUAAAAAGUUUUCAUUGAGUUGGCACAGAUUUCAAAUGAACAUGAUCCUUGGCAGUUAUCCAGGGUUCACAGAACCACAGUUACAUAAGUAACUAGUGUUGUAUUUAACUCCUCCUAAUUAGGAGGCUGUAUAACAUAUACCAACAUGCAGAACAGGAGUCACUAUAGGACGUCCCCCAACAGAUGAGUAAGGACUCGUCCAUAUUUUCAAAUUAAAAUUCAAGAAAGUCUUAUAAUUCAAACAGAAAUCACGGCAUCAGUAUGUGGCUGCUUGCAAGUUGAUGUACGGCAUCCUCGAGAUGCGCUCGUUGCUGAUUUGCUGCAUGUAAAUUCAACGGACAGUUUAUAUGUCUGGAUUCAGCUUUGCAAAAACAUAUCUCAACCUAAGCCAAAACAACAUAGGACCAUCAUUGUCACUGAAUUAUGGAGUAUCCAUUUCAUUGCUCACACGUUGUUAUGCAGCAACACAUCGCUAUGUAAGUUCUAGGAGGAGACAGACCUUGUAGAGGGGCAUGCCACUGUAAGUUUUGGGCACCCAGCUCAUCUAUAUGCCAGGUUUGAUGAUGUCUGCCACCCUAUGUCUUUAGUGUAGAUGGAGACUUGCUGCUGAUGGAAAGUAAGGAUCCUAGGUCUUGGGCAAUGAAUCAAGUCUGAACACCAUUUGCAGAGCAGCUUCUACUCGACGCAUACAAUGGAAAUUUAGUCCAAGGGGCCAGACAUCAGACACAGGUGACCUGUUCGGCAUUCAUUUGAGAGAGCAGAUCUGUUCAGAGAAGUAUGCACCAGGUUGUUCUGACAACUAGUGACAUGAGCAUUGGGAACCAUGGCUACACACAGGACUGGGGCCUAGUUGCUGAAUCCUGUACAGUUUCGGAGCAAUCAGCAGUAAAGUACAUAACAUGUGGUGAAGCCAGUUGUGGGUCAGGGAAUCCUGUCCUAGCAGACUGUGUGCCUCUGCCAGAGCGAACCACAAAUGGCAUAAAUAUGUUGAUAUGGCACUGGUGAAAAGGUCCACUGCACCUCAGCAACCCUCUCCCAGAUCUUGGCUACCAUCUCGGGUCCACCAUACUAUUGUGGCACCCAGAGAACAAGUCGCUCUCAGUGAGGCCAGUCUUGAUUGUAACGUGCCCCAGUGCCAGCCCCUAACCUUCAGGGGCAUACUCCGCAACAUUAUUUAGUGGUGGGUGAGUAUUAUCUAGGGCAUCCUUCAUGGAGUAGACAAGGGAGCGGGCCUCUUGUAGGCAUUAGGACAUGGAGUCAGGGUGUGGUGUCCUAAAGGUGCCAUGUGAACAGUCCAUUUGGCUAUGUUGGUUUUGUGAUUUCGAAACCUCUUUAAUGGCAGGUCCAAAGAAGGACACAACGAUGGAAUGCAGAUUCCACAGGGCUGACACUGCUCCUGACCACCAACCCGACAUCCCCCCGAGGCCCAGCGCAUAAACCAUGUUAACAGACAGUUGCCCCAUAUCCUGGCCCAGGCUAAAGGAUGCUAUGGAGCCCUGUAGUGUUCCAUGAAAAAUGCUCAUUACAUGAAAGAAAGCACUAUCAUCAAAGUAGAAAGAAAUGAGAGGAACCUUUGACAGACACAACACCUGUGGUAACAAGCUGCUAAGCGAAUAGCUCCAUAUUGUGUACAGGUAGUCACAACACGUGCACUGGCGAGAAGGAGUAAAGGAGUGAUUGCUGUAUAGUUGAGGUAUAUACUGCAUCAUAUGUCACUAUGUGAGACUUUGUUGGAAGAUCUUGGCAUGUAUCGCAUACACGCAAGGAAAAUAGAGGUGAAAUAGAAUAAAACAUAUACAGAUGUUGGCCACACAUUCAGUGUACAUUAGCAAAGAUUCUUCAACUCUCUGGAACUGUACGGUACUUACAUCUGUAAAUUUCAAGCUAAGAUUCAUCAAUUAACUUACAGUGAAACAUGCAGUUUGCUAUAUAAUCUUUUAUAUUUUCUCUCUCUGCUCUUAUCUUGAAGGAUUAUAUUAGUUCAUAAUGCAUUAUAUUAGUAAUUGCCAAUAAAAGUACUUUUUACUUUUGUUUUUGUAUAUUUCAUUCUCCAUUGUUAAUGCACAAGGCGUUUUGUUUGUGGUUAUUUUUAAUAAUAGAAGAAUAAACCGAUAUAAUGUUAAAAGAUCUAAAUAAUUUCAUAUUUAGUCAUUUAAUUUGUACUGGGUCAAAUACACUCAGUCAGAUAGUUAGAAAACAGAGAAGAAGAAGCCUUUAUUUGUCACAUUACAGUGAAAUUUACAAUGAAAUAUACAUUAACGUGAAUUUUAUUUUUCUAUACCCCAGUUUGUUAAGAAGCUGGGGUGAGCCAUGACACAGCACCCCUGGAGCAGAUAAGGUUAAGAACCUUGAUCAAGGGUCCAACACUGGCAGCUCGGCAAUGCCCAAACCUUCAGAUCAGUAACCGGGACCCUUAACUGUUAAGCCGCCACCACCACCACCUUAAAAUGCUCAGACAGGGUUUGAACCCAUGAGCUUUGGUUUACAAGACCAACACCUUAUCACCUGGCUAUUUGAUAUUUAUUAAGCAAAAUAAUUUCUUAGACUUCCUUAGACCACGACUCCCAUACUUACAUUAUUUACCACAUUUUGUAUAAAGCUCUCUGAAGAAUUAUUCAGAUCUAAACUGUAAGUAAAAGUAAAACCUCAUUUUGUCAUAGUAGCAAUUUAACGGUGGUUAUAACAGUACAAACCAUUUAAUGUAACUUGCUUUUAGUUAAACUUAUUCAUUUAAAUUUAUGCACAGAAUUAGAAAACUAACGGUGUAUAUGUCUGUAUAUUUAGGGUUAAAAUAUAUUAGAGCCCACGGUUCAUACACUUUCCUUUGUACAAUGGUCUCCACAGAUUACAUCAGAAUGUUUAUUUCUAGCUCAAAUAAUCCAAAUGCUCCUUAUUAAAUUCCAGAUUUUAUAUCACUUGUCCAAACUAACUUUGGAGAUCAGUCAGUAUCCUUAAUUACCUUCACACAAAAAGAUUCAGUUUCAGUAGUUGGAUCUAAUUUUAUAGUUCCACAUGUAUUUUUCAGCAAUAAAGGUUUAAAGAAAUGUGCCUGUCUACUUAAUAAACACUCAGGACUGUAUUUUAUCAUUGCAACGGGAAAUAAUGAGGAGACUUUAUUUCAAGUUUGUCAGCUGAAAAUAGUUGGCGCAGACCCAGUCAGCCAAAUGAGUUCCUGGGCUGAGUAGCUGUUAUAUAAUAAAUAUAACGAAUACCAGUCAGCUGAGUCAAAAAUAUCAGUACUAUCAUAUAAAUGUGUGAAAGGUAACUGGAAAAUUCUCACAGUGUGGCAAGUUAAAACAAAACUCUCCCAUCCAAAUGUCAAGUAAGAUUCUUGGAAUCGCAUCAUGUUUACAACUAGGACACAACCUCACAAAUGUGCCUGAAAGUGGCAGUAAAGUCUAUCUGGUGGAUCAAACAUCACAAGGUUAAUAAAAACUUGUUUACUUGAUUAGAAGUGGUUUAAAAGCAAUGCACCUUGUUAGUUACCUGCUUAAGGUCUGAUUUUCCCCCAAAAACUGUUUUUCCCCUAAAAACAUUUCCACUGUCAUGGUGCUAGUUAAUACUACAAGCAUUAAAACUCCUGGCAAAACAGGAUAUUCCCAUGUCAUGUAAUAGCUAUCAUGUUAGUUUGCUUAUUUAUUGUAAAAGACUGUAAAUUGUCUAAUCAUACUGUCCUCUUGUCAGUUAUAGCUGUGGGCAAUAGCACAUAAUUACGCAUGACAAGUGUAAAUGACCUGGGCAUUCUGUCAAGUCUCUCUCCAUUUUGCAUGGAGCUGUGAAUUUCCUGUGCCUGGAAUACCUUAAUCUAUUCCCUCCAUGCACACUGGCCUUAGUUAAAAAGCCAUCUGUAUAUCCUUUGGUGCAAACUGUAGAGACAUAAAAGUAAGGAUGAUGUACUUAGAGAUGCGGAUAGAUGAAAGCAUUACAAUUUAGCCAACUUAGCAGAUGGAGCUCCCAGAAGGCAUUACAGUUAAAACCACACAGUGAUACACCCAAGCUGUAAGCAACUAACCUGGGGACUCAACCCACCACAACAAAAACAAUGUUUGAUGAGAAAAAAAUAGGGAGGUUUUGUGUGAACACAAAAUGCCCUUUCUAUCUGUAGCCUUAUUAAUGUUCGAUUAGUAAAGUUAAAAACAAUAAUAAUAAAUUAGGCUUGCUCCAUAUCACAUGCUUAAUUCCACCUUAAAUGUCCUGCAUUAUUUCUCUUCUGAAAGUCACACAGAUAAAUCCUUGUUUGAAAAUAUUUAUAUAAUUUUAGUAACAUGGUCUAACAAUUGCAUGUUAAUAAUUAAUUUCCUCAUUUGUAAGUCGCUUUGGAUAAAAGCGUCUGCUAAAUGAAUAAAUGUAUAAUGUACAUGUAAUAAAUAUCCAAGGAUGUAAUGAUACACACAAUUUAAGUUCGAUACAAUACUAUAGUCAUUUUAACAAAUGGCCUGAGACUCAGCUACCAACUGACUGACCAAUAGUCAGUCCAUGUAGGAUUUACCUGAGUUUUUGCGAUCGCAAAAUCCUAGAGGUACUGAAUAGUAUGACUCUACCUCACUCAACAAGUGCAAUAUUAUUAUGUGCAAUAACUGCAUAUAGAUUUAUUCACGUAAUACUUAUACAAUGUUAAUAAAUUAUACCACUGUCGAAUGUAGAAUUGCCUUUUUUUAGCUGUACGUAUCAUCAUCUUCCCACUGCUACUACACUUUAUAUAUAUUUCCUAUUUAUCUGACUUGCUUGUUUUAUUUACAACCCCAAUGAAAAAGUUGGGACAGUAUGGAAAAUGCUAAUAAUGUAAAGAGGAAUGAUUUGUAAAUGUACUUUGACUUGCAUUUAAAUAAAAAAAACGUAUUAAGACAAGGUAUUUGAUAUUUUACCUAAUCAACUGCAUAGUUUUUUUUUAAGGUAAACGUUUAUUUUGAAAUUAUGCAUGGAGCACGUUCCAAAACAGUUGGGACAGGGGCAAUUUAGGACUAAUAGUGAUGUGACAGGUUGAAAUAAGAAGGUGAUGUGAAACAGGUGAGGCAAUCAUCUAAUCAUAGUAUAUAAGGAGCCUCCAGAAAAGGUCUAGUCCUUCAAGAGCAAGAAUGGGUCGAGGCUCACCAAUCUCCCAACAGAUGCAUCAGCGAAUAAUCCAACACUUUGAGAAAAACAUUCCCCAAAGACAAAUUGGUAGGAUUUUGGGCAUUUCAUCAUCUACAGUGCACAAUAUAAUUAAAAGAUUCAAGGAACCCGGUCAAAUCUCGGUGCAUAAAGGGCAAGGCCAAAAACCACUUCUGAAUGCGUGUGAUCUCCGAUCCCUCAGAUGUCACUGUCUUAAAAAACUGUCAUGAGUCUGUAAUGGAUAUCCUGACAUGGGCUCCUGAAUAAAUUGGUAAACCUUUGUCAAUCAACACCAUUCGCCGCUGCAUCCACAGAUGCAAGUUAAGGCUUUACUAUCCAAAGCAGAAGCCAUACAUCAACACUGUCCAGAAGUGCUGCCGACUUCUCUGGGCUCGGUCUCAUCUGAGAUGGACAGUAGCACAGUGGAAAUGUGUUUUGUGGUCCGACGAGUCAACAUUUCAAAUAGUUUUUGGACAAAACAGCCGUCGUGUCCUCCAGGCCAAAGAGGAAAAGGACCAUCCAAGUUGUUAACAGCAUCAGGUACAAAAGUCAGUGUCUAUUAUGGGUAACUUCCACAUCUGUGAGGGCAGUAUUAAUGUAGAAAGAUAUAUACACAUUUUGGAGCAACAUAUGCUGCCAUCCAGAGCAGGAUAAUGCCAAACCACAUUCUGCCUGGAUUACCAGCACAUGGUUGCGUAAGCAGAGAGUGCGGGUGCUAGCAUGGCCUGCCUGUAGUCCUGACCUGUCUCUGAUUGAAAAUGUGUGGCGCAUUAUGAAGCGCAAAAUAAGGCAACGAAGGCCCCUUACAGUUGAGCAGCUGAAGAAAUGCAAAAUGGAUGAAUGGGGGAAAAUUACGCUUGCUAAACUUAGCCAACUGAUGUCUUCACUCAGUGUCCAAACGCUUAAUAAGUGUUAUUAAAAGAAAAGCUGAUGUUACACAGUGGUAAACAAUUGACUGUCCCAAUUUUUUUGGAGUAUGUUGCAUUCAUCAGAUUUGAAAUGAGUGUAUAUUUUCAAAAAUAAACUAAAUUCACAAAUUAAAACAUCAAAUAAUGUGUUAAUAAUGUAUUUUUCAAUAUAGCACAGGGUUAAUUGAAUUUUCAAAUGACUCUUUUUGUUUGUUUUUUCCCAUACCAUCCCAACUUUUUCAGAAUUGGGGUUGUAUAAAUAUUUAUUUAUUUUGUUUGAUUCUGGGUAAUCCUAUGGUAUUAUCGUCUGCGUUAAUUGUCCGUAUUUACUGUUGUCUUUCAGUCAUUGUCACUGUCUAUUAUAGGUUGCAUGGUAGUCUACUGAAAGAACUGUUUCGUUUUUAUCCAUUGCCAUGUGGUAUACUAAACAUGACAAUAAAGCUGACUUUGACAUUGAUACGGUGGUGUGUCGAUAUACCUUUUUAUUAAUAGCACAAAUAAGCAUUGUCUGAAUAUGCACCUUAGGUUUACCUUUUCAGUAGGUUAAAACAUUUGAUAUUAUAAAAGUAUACCAGUUGAAACUUAAUAAUAAUAGUGUUUGUGUGUUCCAUUCAGACUCAAAAUACCAAAACAGCAACCAAAAGCUGUGCAUUAGAAUGUAAAGAAAUGAAACAUGUCUAAUUAAACAUUAGCUCUCUGAUAGGGUCAUGAUAGGUUAUGCACACUUGUGACAAGUCUCAGCGAAUUUUUCACUUCAACUACAUCUCAAAAACUGCACAAAAAGACCUGAAACUAGCCCAAAAAAUCAGGACUAGGAAAAGAGUCACAUUUGUUACAACCCUUUUAUUUACAAAACCCAACAAUGUUACAGUUGGUUGAGGUUAUGUUAAAGAGUGAUUUUUAACGUUUCUUACUUUCUUUAUAUGAAAUCCAAGGAAAUUGUUCUGUCACGAUCCCUGCCAAUUUCUCUUGGAUUUCAGAGGCAUUUCAAAACCAAUUUUAGGAGAUCCAAUUACUGGGACAACUACUACAUUUCUUUUCUUAUCAGCAAGUGAAAUUACACUGUUGAUAACAUUUUCAGGCUAAGCAAAGGACCCUAAACUUAGGUAUAGUCUAGAUGAUAGCUUGAAGGAUAUUCAAUCUGUGCCCUAAGUCAUCUCUGAACUAUCACCAAGGGGCUCAAUCAUUGUUGCCUUGAAUGCCAUACAUCAUAACCCAAGCAUACCAAACAUAUAUAGCCUGUAAUGGUUACCAGUGAUUCUUCCAGUAAGCCUGAAGCACUAUCGUAGCAAUAAAGUCAUCUCCAGGUCAUCUAUACUGGAUCUGGAGUUUAACAGAAUGUGGUCUGCUAUAAAUUUGACAUUUUAAUUUAACUUAAAAAAAUUACCACAAUGCCUCACCUUUUCACUUUAGAGCUAGCUUCAACCAGAAACCAACACAUUAAAGUAGGCUGGAGAUUAGUGCAAGAGCAAUAAGGAUUUUUAGGGGCAUUAUGAUGGUGAAACUGAAACACAAGUGCCCCCAAAAGCCCCUCAUUCUCCCUGCGGCAUUACAUUUACACCAAUGCUGUUACCAAUGUCGUUACAGCUAUACUGUAUAGUGGCCUUCUAUGGCUUAUUUGGCUCAUGUUUUUAUUGUCGUUGCAAUCGAGAAUGAUGAUUUCGAUGAUUUAGGAGCAAGUUCUGAAAAAUUUGGCUAUAUCACAAGAAAAAAUGUAAUGCUGAAGCUUGUGGCUAUAUGCUUGGAUUGUAUUCUGCUUUGUUUGUCAAUUAAAUGUGACUAAACGUAUCUACCUGUGGAGUGAUUUCAGGAAAAUUGGGAUACUUAAAUUUAGCAGCAUUUAUUUUCUUGCCUUAAAAAUAAAAGUCAAAACCUAUGUUAUGAAGCUUUUUCAGUGGAAGUGCCUGAUAAAAAUAAAUAAAACACUUUUUUUUCCUCUUAAUUCAUGUAACAUAAUAUAAGGGGGUGUGGUCAACAUUAAAAUGACAUACGCUUUGUCUAGUGUACUUAAUAAGGUAAUAAAAUAAUCUUGAAUAAUUUAUUCCACAUAUUUAUGAUGCAUAUAUACACAAGAUCAACUAUUGUGUAUUACAAAACAUACAUGAUGUCAGUUCAAAUCAUGUACCGACUUACAAAACUUAAAAUUCAAUAAGUGGAGAGAGAUAAACUGAAAGGAUAUAAUCCUUUGCAUGAAGUGACGCAUGGCACACCCUACAAUUAUGUAGACUGAUAUACUGAUAGGUUUCUCAUGCAUUAAAUUGUGUUUUUAUGAAGCAUAUUAAGAAUCAGGAGAAUAAGAUAGACUGGGAAAUACAAAAUAUUACUUAGGCCUUAUAUUUAGUAUGCAUAUAUUUUUACUUACUGAACUGUAUUCAUAUAAUUUUAGAGACUGACGCUGAUAUUUAUUUUUUAAUCAUGGGUUAUGCUUCUACUGCAAGAAAUUACUUAUUAACUGUUGCUUUAUAGUGUUUUUUUUUUUUUUUUUUUUUUUGUCCUACUGUGAUAAUAACUUAAUUUUUUCACAAUCAAUUUUAGAAAACAUUGGUUAUAAAUUUGGAAAAUAUUAAUAUAAGAUUUUACUAAAAUCUGUUAUUGUUGUUCUUACAUUAAGAAAUGACAUCUUAAUACGUACUCAAUUGUACUCAGUCUAUUAUGUUCAAAGAACAUGCAAAUAUGUUGAUUAUGGAUACAUUUGUAUAAGAUAACUUUACAAGUUUUAUUAAUGAAAUGUGAUUUAAUAAUACACUAAUAAAAAGCUACAAAUAAAGAAUGUAAUGCAAUGAAAAGCCUACACGAAUAAAAACGUGUCCCAAAUUCCCAAAUAUGUCAUUAAAAAUGGUUCAGUCAGCCUUGACAAAACAAUAAGCCAUGCUUCUUCUGAAUAUUAUAUAAACUUUUUCCCCUCCAUAGUCAACACUUUGAGAAUGUCAGAAAUACAUCAUGUGUUGGCGUAUUUGUUUUGCUAAAGGCAAGAAAGCUUUGACAAGUUGGGAAAAAAGUGUCCCAAAUUCAUAUAUCUGAAUUCAUUUUUAAUCUAAUGACAUGCAAGUCAAAAAUGGAAUAUCACAGCAAGUUGAUGUAGCUUAACGUCACAACCUUCACUUCAAUAUCAGCUUGCUGAACAAACGACAUAUUCGCUAUGAAACAAGGCAGAACCAUGAUUCCAUGGUGAAGAGAGCUGAACCGUCGCGCGCUCGGAGCAGAGGAGAUGAGUCCCUGUGAG
Molecule: long non-coding RNA, 10727 nt
Organism: Ictalurus punctatus (channel catfish)
Lineage: Eukaryota; Metazoa; Chordata; Actinopteri; Siluriformes; Ictaluridae
Source: Ensembl